This 1237-nucleotide ribosomal RNA is filed under the name uncultured Acinetobacter sp. Its description in RNAcentral is "bacterial SSU rRNA". It matches the Rfam family "Bacterial small subunit ribosomal RNA", at positions 96 to 1328 of the family's 1533-position model. The record is from RNAcentral. Lineage: Bacteria; Pseudomonadati; Pseudomonadota; Gammaproteobacteria; Moraxellales; Moraxellaceae.
CGGCGGACGGGUGAGUAAUGCUUAGGAAUCUGCCAUUUAGUGGGGGACAACAUUCCGAAAGGAAUGCUAAUACCGCAUACGUCCUACGGGAGAAAGCAGGGGAUCUUCGGACCUUGCGCUAAAUGAUGAGCCUAAGUCGGAUUAGCUAGUUGGUGGGGUAAAGGCCUACCAAGGCGACGAUCUGUAGCGGGUCUGAGAGGAUGAUCCGCCACACUGGGACUGAGACACGGCCCAGACUCCUACGGGAGGCAGCAGUGGGGAAUAUUGGACAAUGGGCGAAAGCCUGAUCCAGCCAUGCCGCGUGUGUGAAGAAGGCCUUUUGGUUGUAAAGCACUUUAAGCGAGGAGGAGGCUACUUGGAUUAAUACUCUAGGAUAGUGGACGUUACUCGCAGAAUAAGCACCGGCUAACUCUGUGCCAGCAGCCGCGGUAAUACAGAGGGUGCGAGCGUUAAUCGGAUUUACUGGGCGUAAAGCGUGCGUAGGCGGCUUUUUAAGUCGGAUGUGAAAUCCCUGAGCUUAACUUAGGAAUUGCAUUCGAUACUGGGAAGCUAGAGUAUGGGAGAGGAUGGUAGAAUUCCAGGUGUAGCGGUGAAAUGCGUANAGAUCUGGAGGAAUACCGAUGGCGAAGGCAGCCAUCUGGCCUAAUACUGACGCUGAGGUACNAAAGCAUGGGGAGCAAACAGGAUUAGAUACCCUGGUAGUCCAUGCCGUAAACGAUGUCUACUAGCCGUUGGGGCCUUUGAGGCUUUAGUGGCGCAGCUAACGCGAUAAGCAGACCGCCUGGGGAGUACGGUCGCAAGACUAAAACUCAAAUGAAUUGACGGGGGCCCGCACAAGCGGUGGAGCAUGUGGUUUAAUUCGAUGCAACGCGAAGAACCUUACCUGGUCUUGACAUAGUAAGAACUUUCCAGAGAUGGAUUGGUGCCUUCGGGAACUUACAUACAGGUGCUGCAUGGCUGUCGUCAGCUCGUGUCGUGAGAUGUUGGGUUAAGUCCCGCAACGAGCGCAACCCUUUUCCUUAUUUGCCAGCGGGUUAAGCCGGGAACUUUAAGGAUACUGCCAGUGACAAACUGGAGGAAGGCGGGGACGACGUCAAGUCAUCAUGGCCCUUACGACCAGGGCUACACACGUGCUACAAUGGUCGGUACAAAGGGUUGCUACCUAGCGAUAGGAUGCUAAUCUCAAAAAGCCGAUCGUAGUCCGGAUUGGAGUCUGCAACUCGACUCCAUGAAGUCG